AGUUAUUUGUAGUCACAUUUUUAAAUCGCUAUAGUAAGCAACAUUUGCUGACUAGCUAGCAAUCCAAGACGGACAAGCCGGCAUGGCCUGCUCAGAGUAAGCUAACAGCGGCUAGCCACGGUGUCCGAAAGACAAAAUGAAGCCCAGUUAUCGUUCGGACCUUCAUUAAUUACACUGUUCUUACCGGGAUAAAAUGUGACGAUGCUGUGAGAUGGUAAAUCGGGGAAUCCACUCCUCGCUUGUACUCUCUUUGUGAACGUAUUGUCACUGGUCUGCUCUUUUACUCCAAGAGAAAACAGAUGCCCUUCUUGGCUACUGGGCUAGCUGGUUAGCUAGCCGGCAAACGGGUGAGAGCUACUUCUGUCACUUGAUUAAAAGUGCAAAAGUGACAAUGCUCAAAUCAAAUAAUUUCGUACUUUACGAGUACUAUUGGUAGUUCCGAUGGCCCCGAAAAAAGCCUCUGGACCGGAGGUCCAUCAUCAAGGCGUCGAUGGUGACGGAUUGCCGGUAAGGACCUAAUGGAAUAGCAGCAGCCAAGGAACCUCAUUGUCACAGGAGCACACCACUGUUUUAAGAAUCAGAAGUCAAUCAAAAUGUUAACGACAUACCACUGAAGGCCAGACGACUAACAGCCUUCUUCACUGGGCUCUUGAAGCAAGCUGUAAAAUAACUGCAGUACAUUCAGAAUGCUGCUGCUUGAGUGCUGACUAGAACCUGAAAGUUUCAACUGAAAGUAUAUUAUCUGCACUCUUCACUUUUAAUUUUAUGUAAUGAUUCUAGGGUGGUUUUGUUUCAUGGAAUUAUUUUACCCUCUUUUCCUGUAAAGCACUUUGAAUACCUUGUGUAUGACUUGGGCUCUAUAAAUAAACUUGACUUUGUCAAAGUAA
Molecule: non-coding RNA, 887 nt
Organism: Doryrhamphus excisus (bluestripe pipefish)
Lineage: Eukaryota; Metazoa; Chordata; Actinopteri; Syngnathiformes; Syngnathidae
Source: RefSeq, a predicted model, not a curated record